ACGAGUUCAGACUCGUGGCGAAUAGCUCAGUAACACGUGGCCAAACUACCCUUCGGAGCUCCAUACCCUCGGGAAACUGAGGCUAAUAGAGCAUACCAUACCACCACUGGAAUGAGUGGUAUGCCAAACGCUCCGGCGCCGAAGGAUGUGGCUGCGGCCGAUUAGGUAGACGGUGGGGUAACGGCCCACCGUGCCAAUAAUCGGUACGGGUCAUGAGAGUGAGAACCCGGAGACGGAAUCUGAGACAAGAUUCCGGGCCCUACGGGGCGCAGCAGGCGCGAAACCUUUACACUGCACGACAGUGCGAUAGGGGGAUCCCAAGUGCACAGGCAUAGCGCCUGUGCUUUUCGGUACCGUAAGGUGGUACCAGAAUAAGGGCUGGGCAAGACCGGUGCCAGCCGCCGCGGUAAUACCGGCAGCCCAAGUGAUGGCCGAUCUUAUUGGGCCUAAAGCGUCCGUAGCUGGCCGCGCAAGUCCAUCGGGAAAUCCACCUGCUCAACAGGUGGGCGCCCGGUAGAAACUGCGUGGCUUGGGACCGGAAGGCGCGACGGGUACGUCCGGGGUAGGAGUGAAAUCCCGUAAUCCUGGACGGACCGCCGAUGGCGAAAGCACGUCGCGAGGACGGAUCCGACAGUGAGGGACGAAAGCCAGGGUCUCGAACCGGAUUAGAUACCCGGGUAGUCCUGGCCGUAAACAAUGC
Molecule: ribosomal RNA, 700 nt
Filed under: Halorubrum xinjiangense
Lineage: Archaea; Methanobacteriati; Methanobacteriota; Halobacteria; Halobacteriales; Haloferacaceae
Description: bacterial SSU rRNA
Rfam family: Archaeal small subunit ribosomal RNA
Source: RNAcentral